This is a small nuclear RNA of Octodon degus (degu), 108 nucleotides long. Lineage: Eukaryota; Metazoa; Chordata; Mammalia; Rodentia; Octodontidae. The record is from Ensembl.
GUGUUCACUUUGGCAGCACGUACAUACACUAAAAUCAGACCAAUACAGAGAUUAGCAUGACCCAGACACAAGGAUGACACACAAGCUCAUGACACUUUCCAUGUUUUU